AAAAGUGAAAGACGGUCUUGCUGUCACUUAUAGAUGGAUCCGCGCUGCAUUAGCUAGUUGGUAAGGUAACGGCUUACCAAGGCAACGAUGCAUAGCCGACCUGAGAGGGUGAUCGGCCACACUGGAACUGAGACACGGUCCAGACUCCUACGGGAGGCAGCAGUAGGGAAUCUUCCGCAAUGGGCGAAAGCCUGACGGAGCAACGCCGCGUGAGUGAUGAAGGUCUUCGGAUCGUAAAACUCUGUUAUUAGGGAAGAACAUAUGUGUAAGUAACUGUGCACAUCUUGACGGUACCUAAUCAGAAAGCCACGGCUAACUACGUGCCAGCAGCCGCGGUAAUACGUAGGUGGCAAGCGUUAUCCGGAAUUAUUGGGCGUAAAGCGCGCGUAGGCGGUUUUUUAAGUCUGAUGUGAAAGCCCACGGCUCAACCGUGGAGGGUCAUUGGAAACUGGAAAACUUGAGUGCAGAAGAGGAAAGUGGAAUUCCAUGUGUAGCGGUGAAAUGCGCAGAGAUAUGGAGGAACACCAGUGGCGAAGGCGACUUUCUGGUCUGUAACUGACGCUGAUGUGCGAAAGCGUGGGGAUCAAACAGGAUUAGAUACCCUGGUAGUCCACGCCGUA
This 620-nucleotide ribosomal RNA is filed under the name Staphylococcus aureus. Its description in RNAcentral is "bacterial SSU rRNA". It matches the Rfam family "Bacterial small subunit ribosomal RNA", at positions 196 to 804 of the family's 1533-position model. Lineage: Bacteria; Bacillati; Bacillota; Bacilli; Caryophanales; Staphylococcaceae. The record is from RNAcentral.